GAAUUUAGCCUUUUUUAUAAAAAACAAUUUUCUUUCAGAAAAUUUACCAAGCAGAUUAUGUGCGUUAAAAUAAAAUGAGUGUAGGGCAUAAGAAAAGCACACAAGGAUUUUUAUACUGGUUCGAUUCAACAGAAUCUACGUCCAGUCGUUAAUCACUACAAAUAGUGAUUAACAGUUCCACUAAAAAAGGAUUUAACAGAUUACAAUAAAAGGUACAGAAAUAGAAUGAAGGAAACCACUCUACCAACUUGAAGAGAACCUGCACCGGCAAUCGACAAACGAUUCACGUGCUUCUCCUUUCACAAGACCAGGUAGAGAGCCUUGCCAACUUGAAGAGAGUCCACUUCGACUAUCGGCACACAAUACGUAAGCCUCUCCUUUCACAAGACCAGGCAAGGGAACAAAGUAAACAAAAGCUCUCAAGAACGUUCCUCUGACUACUCAGUGUUCUAGCUUUCUCAGUUUACACAAAAGUUAAGUUCUGAAGCUUUCAAAAAUCUCUUAAAU
Molecule: long non-coding RNA, 507 nt
Filed under: Vigna radiata
Lineage: Eukaryota; Viridiplantae; Streptophyta; Magnoliopsida; Fabales; Fabaceae
Description: long non-coding RNA (VRAD_LNC006647)
Source: RNAcentral